GCGGAUGGCUGGAUGGCCGCGUGCGUCGCAGGGCGUGCGAGGAAAGUCCGGACUCCACGAGGAAAGGGCGCCGGGUAACGCCCGGCCGGGGAAACCCGAGGGAAAGCGCCACAGAAAACAGACGGCCCUGCAUGCAGGGUCACGGUGAAAAGGUGGGGCAAGAGCCCACCGCGCCCCCGGCAACGGGGGUGGCAUGGCAAGCCCCGCCCGGAGCAAUGCCAAAUAGGGGUCUCGGGGGCGGCAACGCCCAGGGCAUCCUCGGCCCAGAGACCCGGGUCGGCAGCUAGAUCCCGUCGGCAACGGCGGGGCCAGAUGAAUGGUCAUCCAGGGGGAAAACCCCCGGACAGAAUCCGGCUUACAGGCCAUCCGCGCGC
Molecule: RNase P RNA, 374 nt
Filed under: Paracoccaceae bacterium
Lineage: Bacteria; Pseudomonadati; Pseudomonadota; Alphaproteobacteria; Rhodobacterales; Paracoccaceae
Description: RNase P RNA component class A
Rfam family: Bacterial RNase P class A
About the family: Ribonuclease P (RNase P) is a ubiquitous endoribonuclease, found in archaea, bacteria and eukarya as well as chloroplasts and mitochondria. Its best characterised activity is the generation of mature 5'-ends of tRNAs by cleaving the 5'-leader elements of precursor-tRNAs.
Source: RNAcentral